Molecule: ribosomal RNA, 496 nt
Filed under: uncultured bacterium
Lineage: Bacteria
Description: partial 16S ribosomal RNA
Rfam family: Bacterial small subunit ribosomal RNA
Source: RNAcentral
AUGAACGCUGGCGGCGUGCCUAAUACAUGCAAGUCGAGCGAACAGACGAGGAGCUUGCUCCUCUGACGUUAGCGGCGGACGGGUGAGUAACACGUGGAUAACCUACCUAUAAGACUGGGAUAACUUCGGGAAACCGGAGCUAAUACCGGAUAAUAUAUUGAACCGCAUGGUUCAAUAGGGAAAGACGGUUUUGCUGUCACUUAUAGAUGGAUCCGCGCCGCAUUAGCUAGUUGGUAAGGUAACGGCUUACCAAGGCAACGAUGCGUAGCCGACCUGAGAGGGUGAUCGGCCACACUGGAACUGAGACACGGUCCAGACUCCUACGGGAGGCAGCAGUAGGGAAUCUUCCGCAAUGGGCGAAAGCCUGACGGAGCAACGCCGCGUGAGUGAUGAAGGUCUUCGGAUCGUAAAACUCUGUUAUUAGGGAAGAACAAAUGUGUAAGUAACUAUGCACGUCUUGACGGUACCUAAUCAGAAAGCCACGGCUAACUACGUG